Molecule: ribosomal RNA, 373 nt
Filed under: uncultured organism
Description: bacterial SSU rRNA
Rfam family: Bacterial small subunit ribosomal RNA
Source: RNAcentral
CGUAGGGACCAAGCGUUGUUCGGAUUUACUGGGCGUAAAGGGCGCGUAGGCGGCAAUUCAAGUCAGCUGUGAAAUCUCUGGGCUUAACCCAGAACGGCCAGCUGAUACUGCUUUGCUAGAGUGCAGAAGGGGCAAUCGGAAUUCUUGGUGUAGCGGUGAAAUGCGUAGAUAUCAAGAGGAACACCUGAGGUGAAGACGGGUUGCUGGGCUGACACUGACGCUGAGGCGCGAAAGCCAGGGGAGCAAACGGGAUUAGAUACCCCGGUAGUCCUGGCCCUAAACGAUGAAUACUUGGUGUCUGGAGUUUUUAGUGCUCCGGGUGCCGUCGCUUAACGUUUUAGUAUUCCGCCUGGGGAGUACGCUCGCAAGAGUG